RNAcentral lists this ribosomal RNA (10899 nucleotides) under Triticum aestivum (bread wheat). RNAcentral's name for it is "partial small subunit ribosomal RNA". The record is from RNAcentral. Lineage: Eukaryota; Viridiplantae; Streptophyta; Magnoliopsida; Poales; Poaceae.
AUGGCAGCGGCGGCGAUGGCAGCGCACAGGGCCAGCUUCCCGCUGCGGCUGCAGCAGAUCCUGUCUGGNNNNNNNNNNNNNNNNNNNNNNNNNNNNNNNNNNNNNNNNNNNCCAGCAAAAGUUAAAGCAUUUAUUGAUCGUGUAAUCAAUAUUCCACUACAUGACAUUGCCAUACCACUAUCAGGCUUCCAUUGGGAGUUCAAUAAGGGAAAUUUUCACCAUUGGAAGCCUCUGUUUAUGCAUUUUGAUACGUAUUUCAAGACAUACAUCUCUUCUAGAAAGGAUCUUCUCUUGUCUGAUGAUAUGUCUGAGAGUGAACCGUUGACAAAAAAUACCAUCUUACAAAUUUUGAGAGUUAUGCAAAUUGUGUUGGAAAAUUGCCAGAACAAAACAACUUUUGCUGGUCUUGAGCAUUUUAAGAAUCUGUUGACAUCAUCAGAUCCUGAGGUAGUUGUUGCGGCUUUGGAAACUCUUGCUUCAGUGGUGAAAAUAAAUCCUUCAAAACUACAUAUGAAUGGGAAACUGAUCAGCUGUGGAGCUAUAAAUAGCCAUCUUCUAUCAUUGGCCCAAGGAUGGGGUAGCAAGGAGGAAGGUCUAGGCUUGUAUUCCUGUGUUGUGGCAAAUGAGCGAAAUCAGCUGGAGGGGUUGUGCUUAUUCCCAGCAGACAUGGAGAACAAAUAUGAUGGCACACAGCAUCGUCUUGGGUCCACUCUUCAUUUUGAGUAUAAUUUGGCACCUGUCCAAGAUUCUGACCAAGCCAAUGACAAGUCAUCUAAUCUCUGUGUGAUACAUAUGCCAGACCUGCACCUUCGGAAGGAGGAUGACUUGAGCAUAUUGAAGCAAUGUAUCAACAAGUUUAAUGUGCCUCCAGAGCACCGGUUUGCCUUGUUUACAAGGAUAAGAUAUGCACAUGCUUUUAAUUCUCCGAGGACAUGCAGGCUAUAUAGCCGCAUAAGUCUCCUUUCUUUCAUUGUUCUCGUGCAAUCCAGUGAUGCCCAUGAUGAACUGACAUCGUUCUUCACAAAUGAGCCGGAGUACAUAAAUGAGUUAAUCCGGCUUGUUCGUUCAGAAGAUAUUGUUCCUGGGCCCAUUCGUGCACUGGCUAUGCUUGCACUGGGAGCACAGCUAGCAGCAUAUGCAUCAUCUCAUGAGCGAGCUAGGAUACUGAGCGGUUCAAGUAUCAUCUCUGCUGGUGGAAACCGCAUGGUCUUGCUCAGUGUUCUGCAGAAAGCAAUAUCAUCCCUCAGUAGCCCUAAUGAUACUUCAUCUCCUUUAAUUGUUGAUGCCCUUCUGCAGUUCUUUUUGCUUCAUGUGCUGUCAUCUUCGAGUUCUGGGACCACCGUUAGGGGUUCAGGGAUGGUUCCACCUCUUCUGCCUCUCCUGCAAGAUAAGGAUCCUUCCCACAUGCAUCUUGUCUGUUUGGCAGUAAAGACCCUUCAGAAGCUGAUGGAGUACAGCAGCCCUGCUGUUUCCCUGUUUAAAGAUUUGGGUGGUGUAGAACUUUUGUCUCAGAGGUUACAUGUGGAGGUGCAGCGUGUUAUUGGUGUUGCUGAAAUUACUUCAGUGGUUGCUAGUGAUACAUCGAAAUCAGAAGAUGACCAUCUGUACUCACAGAAGCGACUGAUUAAGGCUUUGCUCAAGGCAUUAGGUUCCGCUACAUAUUCUCCUGCGAAUCCUGCUCGCUCUCAAAGUUCCAAUGAUAACUCUUUGCCCAUGUCACUUUCCCUUAUAUUCCAGAAUGUUGGAAAGUUUGGUGGUGAUAUAUACUUCUCUUCAGUUACUGUUAUGAGUGAGAUAAUACAUAAGGAUCCUACAUGCUUUCCUGCUUUGAAGGAACUUGGUCUUCCUGAUGCUUUCCUGUCAUCAGUGACUGCUGGGGUGAUACCAUCUUGUAAAGCUCUUAUAUGUGUACCCAAUGGCCUGGGCGCAAUCUGCCUUAAUAACCAAGGACUUGAGUCUGUCAGGGAAACUUCAGCGCUGCGUUUUCUUGUAGAGACGUUCACUAGUAAGAAAUAUCUGAUACCAAUGAAUGAAGGUGUUGUUCUUUUAGCAAAUGCAGUGGAAGAGCUUAUUCGUCAUGUGCAGUCCCUUAGAAGUACUGGUGUUGACAUCAUCAUUGAAAUAAUCAACAAACUUUCUUGUCCUCGUGGUGAUAAAAUCACUGAAGCAGCCAGCGCUGAAGAAAAAACAGAUAUGGAAACAGAUGUUGAAGGGCGUGAUUUAGUAAGUGCCAUGGAUUCUGGCACAGAUGGAACUAAUGAUGAGCAGUUUUCUCAUUUGAGCAUUUUCCAUGUUAUGGUAUUGGUGCACAGGACAAUGGAAAAUUCAGAAACUUGCAGGCUGUUUGUAGAAAAGGGAGGUCUACAGACUCUGUUGACACUCUUGCUGCGACCUACCAUCACCCAAUCUUCUGGUGGGAUGCCUAUUGCUUUGCACAGCACUAUGGUAUUUAAGGGCUUUACUCAACAGCAUUCUACUCCACUUGCGCGUGCAUUCUGCUCCUCUUUAAAGGAGCACUUGAAGAAUGCCCUACAGGAACUUGAUACAGUUUUUAGGUCAUGUGAAGUGACUAAGAUGGAAAAAGGAGCCAUUCCAUCACUUUUUAUUGUUGAAUUUCUGCUCUUCCUAGCGGCAUCAAAAGACAACCGCUGGAUGAACGCUCUACUCUCAGAAUUUGGUGAUGUCAGCAGGGAUGUCCUGGAAGAUAUUGGAAGAGUUCACCGGGAAGUGCUUUGGCAAAUUUCACUUUUUGAUGAGAAGAAAAUAGAGCCUGAAGCUAGUUCUCCUUCAGCAAAUGAGGCCCAGCAAGUUGAUGCUGCUGUGGGCGACACUGAUGAUAACAGAUACACCUCCUUUAGGCAAUAUCUUGAUCCUCUUUUAAGGCGACGGGGCUCUGGGUGGAACAUUGAGUCUCAGGUGUCUGACCUUAUCAAUAUCUAUCGUGAUAUGGGCCGUGCAGCUACUGACUCUCACAGAGUUGGUGCUGAUAGAUACCCUAGUACAGGGUUGCCCUCAAGUUCCCAGGAUCAGCCAUCCAGUUCAUCUGAUGCAAAUGCGAAGUCAGAAGAGGACAAGAAAAGGUCUGAGCAUUCAUCCUGCUGUGACAUGAUGAGGUCACUUUCUUACCAUAUUAACCAUCUGUUUAUGGAGCUUGGGAAAGCAAUGCUGCUUACAUCUCGCCGUGAGAACAGUCCUAUAAAUCUACCUCCAUCUGUUGUGUCUGUUGCUAGCAAUAUUGCUUCUAUCGUGUUGGAGCACCUCAAUUUUGAGGGGCAUACAAUCAGUCCAGAGAGGGAGAUUACUGUUGCUACAAAGUGCCGAUACCUUGGAAAGGUUGUUGAGUUUAUUGAUGGGAUAUUGUUGGACAGACCAGAAUCAUGUAAUCCAAUCAUGGUGAAUUCUUUUUAUUGCCGUGGUGUAAUUCAGGCUAUCUUAACCACAUUUGAAGCUACCAGUGAGUUGCUUUUUGCAAUGAACAGGCCACCCUCGUCACCUAUGGAGACUGAUAGUAAAACUGGGAUGGAAGAGAAGGAUACUGAUUGUUCAUGGAUUUAUGGCCCCCUUUCCAGCUAUGGUGCAGCUAUGGACCAUCUCGUAACAUCAUCAUUUGUUCUUUCUUCAUCGACAAGACAACUACUUGAGCAACCUAUUUUUAGUGGAACUGUCAGGUUUCCACAAGAUGCAGAGAGAUUCAUGAAGUUGCUUCAAUCUAAAGUCUUAAAGACUGUUCUUCCCAUAUGGGCCCAUCCACAGUUUCCAGAAUGCAAUCUUGAGCUAAUCAGUUCAGUCACAUCGAUCAUGAGGCAUGUUUACUCUGGGGUAGAAGUAAAAAACAAUGUUAGCAACAUGGCUGCUCGUUUGGCUGGUCCACCCCCUGACGAGAAUGCAAUUUCCUUGAUUAUAGAGAUGGGCUUUUCUCGUGCCAGAGCUGAAGAAGCAUUAAGACAGGUUGGAACAAAUAGCGUUGAGAUCGCGACUGACUGGUUGUUCUCACACCCGGAGGAACCACCAGAGGAUGAUGAACUUGCUCGAGCUCUUGCUAUGUCUCUAGGGAAUUCUGAUACACCUGUUCAAGAGGAAGAUGACAGAACUAAUGAUCUUGAGCUCGAGGAAGUAAAUGUUCAGCUCCCUCCCAUGGAUGAAGUAUUAUCUUCAUGUCUUAGGCUGCUACAGGCAAAGGAAACAUUAGCUUUUCCUGUCCGGGAUAUGCUUGUGACUAUCAGCUCACAGAAUGACGGCCAAAACCGUGUGAAGGUGCUUACAUAUUUGAUUGAUCAUCUGAAGCAGUGUCUUGUGGCAUCUGAUCCUUUAAAGAACACUGCACUAUCUGCUUUUUUCCAUGUUCUUGCUUUGAUUCUCCAUGGAGAUACCGCUGCCCGUGAAGUUGCCUCAAAGGCUGGUCUUGUCAAGGUUGUUUUGAAUCUGCUGUGCAGCUGGGAGUUGGAGCCAAGGGAAGGUCAAACAACCAAGGUUCCCAAUUGGGUUACUUCCUGUUUCCUUUCUGUUGAUAGAAUGCUCCAGUUGGAACCCAAGUUGCCAGAUGUUACUGAGCUUGAUGUUCUCAAAAAGGAUAAUUCACCUACACAAACAUCUGUUGUGAUUGAUGACAGCAAGAAGAAGGAUUCAGAAUCUUCCUCAAGUGUAGGGUUACUGGACUUGGAGGACCAGGAUCAACUUUUGAGGGUAUGCUGUAAGUGCAUUCAGAAGCAGUUGCCUUCCGGUACAAUGCAUGCUAUUCUUCAGUUGUGUGCUACACUGACGAAAGUCCAUGUGGCUGCUAUCAGUUUUCUCGAGUCUGGUGGCCUACAUGCGUUGCUAAGUUUGCCGACAAGUAGCUUAUUUUCUGGAUUCAACAGUGUGGUUUCUACAAUUAUCCGUCAUAUUUUGGAGGAUCCCCAUACUCUUCAGCAAGCUAUGGAAUUGGAGAUACGCCAUAGUCUUGUCACGGCUGCUAAUCGGCAUGCAAAUCCUAGGGUUACACCACGUAAUUUUGUUCAAAAUUUGGCGUUUGUUGUAUACAGGGACCCAGUGAUAUUUAUGAAAGCUGCCCAAGCUGUGUGCCAGAUUGAGAUGGUUGGAGAUAGACCGUAUGUUGUUCUAUUGAAGGACCGUGAGAAGGAAAAGAGCAAGGAAAAAGAGAAGGAUAAGCUGGUUGAUAAGGAUAAAUCAUCAGGUGUUGCCACAAAGAUAACAUCAGGGGACAUGGUUAUGGCAUCCCCUGUAAGUGCCAAAGGGAAACAAUCUGAUUUCAGUGCAAGGAAUAUGAAAUCUCAUCGCAAGCCACCACAAACCUUUGUCACUGUUAUUGAGCAUCUAUUAGAUCUAGUCAUGUCCUUUGUCCCACCACAAAGAGCUGAGGACCAAUCUGAUGGUUCGUCAUCCAUGGACAUGGAUAUUGACUCUAGUUCAGCAAAAGGUAAAGGGAAGGCUGUUGCUGUCACACAUGAAGAGUCCAAGCAAGCAAUCCAAGAUGCUACUGCAUGUCUGGCUAAAAACGCAUUUGUCCUAAAGCUGCUCACAGAUGUACUAUUAACUUAUGCUUCUUCGGUUCAAGUUGUUCUUCGCCACGAUGCUGAGUUCAGCAGCACGCGAGGUCCUACUCGGACCAGUGGUGGAAUAUUUAAUCAUAUAUUGCAGCAUUUGCUUCCACAUGCUACAAAGCAAAAGAAAGAAAGGAAGCCUGAUGGUGAUUGGAGGUACAAAUUGGCAACAAGGGGUAAUCAAUUUUUAGUGGCUUCAUCUAUUCGUUCUUCAGAAGGACGAAAAAGGAUCUGUUCUGAAAUCUGCAGUAUAUUUGUUGAGUUCACAGACAAUUCUACUGGUUGCAAACCUCCAAUGUUGAGAAUGAAUGCUUAUGUUGAUUUGCUCAAUGAUAUUCUGUCAGCUCGCUCACCAACGGGCUCCUCACUUUCAGCAGAAUCUGUAGUUACAUUUGUUGAGGUUGGCCUUGUCCAGUGUUUAACGAAAACCCUUCAGGUUCUUGAUUUGGAUCAUUCUGAUUCAGCAAAGAUUGUAACUGGUAUUGUCAAGGCUCUUGAAGUGGUUACUAAGGAGCACGUUCAUUUAGCAGAUUUUAAUGCUAAAGGAGAGAACUCAUCAAAGACUGUUUUGGAGCAGAACAAUGUAGAUUCAUCAUCAAAUAGGUUCCAGGUUCUUGACACAACUUCUCAACCAACUGCAAUGGUAACUGAUCACAGGGAAACUUUCAAUGCUGUUCAUGCUUCAAGAAGUUCAGAUUCAGUGGCAGAUGAGAUGGAUCAUGACCGUGAUAUAGAUGGAGGUUUUGCCCAUGAUGGUGAAGAUGAUUUUAUGCAUGAGAUUGCUGAAGACAGAACAGGAAAUGAGUCCACAAUGGAUAUUCGGUUUGAUAUACCACGUAAUAGAGAGGAUGAUAUGGCUGAAGAUGAAGAUGACAGUGAUGAAGAUAUGUCAGCCGAUGAUGGUGAGGAGGUUGAUGAAGAUGAUGAUGAUGAGGAAAAUAACAACCUGGAGGAAGACGAUGCCCAUCAGAUAUCUCAUGCUGACACGGAUCAGGAUGACCGUGAGAUUGAUGAAGAAGAAUUUGAUGAAGAUCUGCUAGAAGAAGAAGAUGAUGAUGAGGAGGAUGAGGAGGGUGUAAUCCUUCGCCUAGAGGAGGGGAUCAAUGGAAUUAAUGUGUUUGACCAUAUUGAGGUUUUUGGGGGGAGCAACAAUGUUUCUGGGGAUACACUGCGUGUAAUGCCAUUGGACAUUUUUGGCACAAGACGGCAAGGCCGUAGUACAUCUAUAUACAAUCUGCUUGGGAGAGCAAGUGACCAAGGUGUACUUGACCACCCACUCUUGGAGGAACCUUCGAUGUUACUUCCACAACAGAGGCAACCAGAAAAUUUAGUUGAGAUGGCUUUCUCUGAUCGGAAUCAGGAAAAUAGUUCUUCCCGUUUGGACGCUAUAUUCAGAAGCUUGCGAAGUGGACGGAAUGGACACCGAUUUAAUAUGUGGCUGGAUGAUGGCCCCCAACGCAAUGGAUCUGCUGCCCCUACAGUACCUGAAGGCAUUGAAGAACUUCUGCUCUCUCAGUUGAGAAGGCCUAUGGCUGAACAUCCUGAUGAGCAGAGCACACCUGCUGUUGAUGCUCAAGUAAACGAUCCUCCCAGUAAUUUCCAUGGGCCAGAAACUGAUGCAAGGGAAGGAUCAGCAGAACAAAAUGAAAACAACGAAAACGAUGAUAUUCCUGCAGUAAGGUCUGAGGUGGAUGGCUCUGCAAGUGCUGGUCCUGCAGCUCCUCACAGUGAUGAACUUCAAAGAGAUGCAUCCAAUGCAAGUGAGCAUGUCGCAGAUAUGCAAUAUGAACGUAGUGACACAGCUGUCCGUGAUGUGGAAGCAGUAAGCCAAGCAAGCAGUGGUAGUGGUGCUACUCUAGGUGAAAGCCUCAGAAGUUUAGAUGUGGAAAUUGGAAGUGUUGAAGGACAUGAUGAUGGUGACCGGCAUGGCGCUUCAGACAGGACACCUCUGGGUGAUGUACAGGCAGCUACUCGAUCGCGGAGGCCUUCUGGAAAUGCAGUACCAGUCAGCAGCAGGGACAUAUCAUUGGAGAGUGUUAGGGAGAUCCCCCAAAACACAGUCCAGGAAUCCGAUCAGAAUGCCAGUGAGGGGGAUCAGGAGCCUAACAGGGCUACUGGGACUGACUCAAUAGAUCCUACAUUUUUGGAGGCUCUUCCAGAGGAUUUACGGGCUGAAGUUCUUUCUUCACGUCAAAAUCAAGUGACUCAGACUUCCAGUGAGCAGCCUCAGCAUGAUGCGGACAUUGAUCCUGAAUUCCUUGCUGCACUGCCACCUGAUAUACGUGAAGAGGUUCUAGCUCAACAACGUGCCCAACGGUUGCAACAACAGUCUCAAGAGCUUGAAGGACAACCAGUUGAAAUGGACGCUGUAUCAAUUAUUGCAACCUUCCCUUCGGAAAUACGGGAGGAGGUGCUUUUGACGUCUCCUGAUACUCUACUUGCUACAUUGACACCUGCACUAGUUGCUGAAGCCAACAUGUUGCGUGAGAGAUUUGCUCAUCGAUAUCACAGCGGUUCACUAUUUGGCAUGAACUCCAGGAACAGGAGGGGAGAGUCCUCUCGUCGUGGUGAUAUCAUUGGUUCAGGCCUUGAAAGAAAUACUGGUGAUUCGUCCCGUCAAACGGCCAGCAAGUUAAUUGAAACUGUAGGGACUCCUCUUGUUGACAAGGAUGCUCUCAAUGCUCUUAUACGAUUACUUCGAGUUGUCCAGCCUAUAUACAAGGGCCAGCUGCAGAGGCUUCUCUUGAACCUUUGUGCUCACCGGGAAAGCAGAAAGUCGCUGGUUCAAAUUCUGGUGGACAUGCUUAUGCUUGAUCUGCAGGGCUCUUCUAAGAAAUCAAUUGAUGCAACAGAGCCGUCAUUUAGGCUAUAUGGGUGCCAUGCAAAUAUCACAUAUUCACGCCCUCAAUCCUCAGAUGGUGUGCCACCACUGGUUUCCCGCCGUGUGCUGGAAACUCUGACAUACCUGGCAAGAAAUCAUCCAAAUGUGGCUAAGCUCUUACUCUUUCUUCGGUUCCCCUGCCCGCCCACCUGCCAUACUGAAACACUUGACCAGAGGCAUGGAAAGGCUGUCCUUGUGGAAGACGGGGAACAACAGAGUGCUUUUGCACUCGUUCUACUUUUGACUCUAUUAAAUCAGCCUCUUUAUAUGAGAAGUGUAGCUCAUCUUGAACAGUUACUCAAUCUUCUGGAAGUUGUCAUGCUUAAUGCUGAGAAUGAAGUAAAUCAAGCUAAGUUGGAAAGUUCAUCUGAGAGACCGUCUGGACCUGAGAAUGCAAUACAAGAUGCCCAAGAGGAUGCCAGUGUUGCUGGAUCAUCUGGAGCGAAGCCCAAUGCAGAUGAUAGUGGUAAAUCAUCCGCAGAUAAUAUAAGUGACCUGCAAGCUGUUUUGCAUAGCCUUCCGCAAGCCGAGCUUCGGUUGCUAUGUUCAUUGCUUGCGCAUGAUGGGUUAUCAGACAAUGCAUAUCUCCUUGUAGCAGAAGUUCUGAAAAAGAUUGUAGCUUUGGCUCCUUUCAUCUGUUGCCAUUUCAUAAAUGAGCUUUCACGUUCGAUGCAAAAUUUGACUGUUUGUGCCAUGAAUGAGCUUCACUUGUAUGAAGAUUCUGAAAAGGCAAUUCUGAGCACAUCAUCAGCCAAUGGCAUGGCAGUUCUAAGAGUUGUGCAGGCCUUGAGUUCUCUUGUCACAUCUCUGCAAGAGAGAAAAGAUCCAGAGCUUCUUGCAGAGAAGGACCAUUCAGAUUCCCUGUCCCAGAUUUCUGAUAUUAACACAGCAUUGGAUGCAUUGUGGUUGGAGCUAAGCCACUGCAUAAGCAAAAUAGAGAGCUCUUCAGAAUAUACAUCAAAUUUGAGUCCAACUUCUGCAAAUGCAACUAGAGUAUCAACUGGUGUAGCACCUCCCUUGCCUGCUGGAACCCAGAAUAUAUUACCGUACAUAGAAUCCUUUUUUGUGACAUGCGAGAAGUUACGUCCAGGACAACCUGAUGCUGUUCAAGAGCCUUCAACAUCUGAUAUGGAGGAUGCUUCAACAUCUAGUAGUGGGCAAAAAUCAUCUGCAAGCCAUACCAGUCUUGAUGAGAAGCACACUGCUUUUGUUAAAUUCUCGGAGAAGCACAGAAGAUUGUUAAAUGCUUUUAUCCGACAAAACUCUGGGUUGCUAGAAAAAUCAUUCUCUCUGAUGUUGAAGGUCCCCCGCUUGAUUGAUUUUGACAACAAACGUGCAUAUUUCCGGUCUAAAAUUAAGCAUCAGCAUGACCAUCAUCACAGUCCUGUUAGAAUUUCUGUCCGACGGGCGUACAUUUUGGAAGACUCUUAUAAUCAGCUUAGGAUGCGCUCACCCCAGGACUUGAAGGGUCGACUCACGGUUCAUUUCCAAGGAGAAGAAGGCAUUGAUGCCGGUGGACUCACAAGAGAGUGGUAUCAGUUACUAUCACGAGUGAUUUUUGACAAGGGUGCCCUUCUAUUCACGACUGUUGGAAAUGACUUGACAUUUCAACCAAACCCUAACUCUGUGUAUCAGACUGAACACCUCUCAUAUUUCAAAUUUGUUGGACGAGUGGUUGGAAAAGCGCUCUUUGAUGCCCAACUUUUGGAUGUCCAUUUCACUAGAUCUUUCUACAAGCACAUACUUGGUGCCAAGGUUACUUACCAUGAUAUUGAAGCCAUUGAUCCUGCUUACUACAGAAACCUUAAGUGGAUGCUUGAGAAUGACAUAAGUGAUGUCCUGGACCUCACAUUUAGCAUGGAUGCAGAUGAAGAGAAGCUGAUAUUAUAUGAGAAAGCUGAGGUAACUGAUUGUGAGUUGAUUCCUGGAGGGCGUAACAUUAGGGUCACCGAGGAGAACAAGCAUGAAUAUGUGGAUAGGGUAGCAGAGCAUCGUUUAACCACUGCAAUUAGGCCUCAGAUUAAUGCUUUCAUGGAAGGAUUUAAUGAGCUCAUUCCUCGCGAGCUAAUAUCCAUUUUUAACGACAAAGAGUUUGAACUGCUAAUCAGUGGACUCCCUGAUAUUGACUUGGACGACCUAAAGGCAAAUACCGAGUAUUCUGGCUACAGCAUAGCUUCACCAGUUAUUCAAUGGUUCUGGGAAAUUGUACAAGGUUUCAGCAAGGAGGACAAAGCUCGAUUUCUCCAGUUCGUUACUGGCACUUCAAAGGUACCUUUGGAGGGUUUCAGUGCGCUCCAAGGAAUAUCUGGGCCACAAAGGUUCCAGAUACACAAGGCAUACGGCAGCACCAACCAUCUGCCCUCAGCUCAUACUUGCUUUAACCAACUGGACUUGCCUGAAUACACAUCCAAAGACCAGCUGCAGGAGAGGUUGCUAUUGGCUAUUCAUGAGGCAAAUGAAGGGUUUGGAUUUGGUUAA